GCCAGUUCAUGCUUUUACAGUAUGAAAAUUGGUGAUUUAUAAUAACUUAGCAAAUCGCAAAGUGAAAACAGGCGAUAAAUCAUUCAAGUUUCUGACCUAUCAGCUUUCGACGGUAUGGUAUUGGCUUACCGUGGCAGUGACGGUUAACGGGGGAUUAGGGUUCGAUUCCGGAGAGGGAGCCUGAGAAACGGCUACCACAUCUAAGGAAGGCAGCAGGCGCGCAAAUUACCCAAUUCUAACAGUUUGAGAGAGGUAGUAACAAGAAAUAACAAUACAAGGCAGUUAAAAUGCUUUGUAAUUGGAAUGAUAGAAAUUUAAACCCUUUUUAAAGUAUCAAUUGGAGGGCAAGUCUGGUGCCAGCAGCCGCGGUAAUUCCAGCUCCAAUAGCGUAUAUUAAAAUUGUUGCAGUUAAAAAGCUCGUAGUUGAAGUUCUGCUGAAAGUAACCGGUCUGCUUUUAAUAAAAGUGGUAUCUUGGUAUGUAUUUAGCAAUGAUGUCCUUUGAAGUGUUUUUUACUUUAUUGUAAUAAAGCAUAUUCAGGACUUUUACUUUGAGAAAAUUAGAGUGUUUCUAGCAGGCUGACGCU
RNAcentral lists this ribosomal RNA (585 nucleotides) under uncultured Hepatozoon. RNAcentral describes it as "bacterial SSU rRNA". It matches the Rfam family "Eukaryotic small subunit ribosomal RNA", at positions 221 to 795 of the family's 1831-position model. Lineage: Eukaryota; Apicomplexa; Hepatozoidae. The record is from RNAcentral.